CUUGCUUCUCUUGAGAGCGGCGGACGGGUGAGUAAUGCCUAGGAAUCUGCCUGGUAGUGGGGGAUAACGUUCGGAAACGGACGCUAAUACCGCAUACGUCCUACGGGAGAAAGCAGGGGACCUUCGGGCCUUGCGCUAUCAGAUGAGCCUAGGUCGGAUUAGCUAGUUGGUGGGGUAAUGGCUCACCAAGGCUACGAUCCGUAACUGGUCUGAGAGGAUGAUCAGUCACACUGGAACUGAGACACGGUCCAGACUCCUACGGGAGGCAGCAGUGGGGAAUAUUGGACAAUGGGCGAAAGCCUGAUCCAGCCAUGCCGCGUGUGUGAAGAAGGUCUUCGGAUUGUAAAGCACUUUAAGUUGGGAGGAAGGGUUGUAGAUUAAUACUCUGCAAUUUUGACGUUACCGACAGAAUAAGCACCGGCUAACUCUGUGCCAGCAGCCGCGGUAAUACAGAGGGUGCAAGCGUUAAUCGGAAUUACUGGGCGUAAAGCGCGCGUAGGUGGUUUGUUAAGUUGGAUGUGAAAUCCCCGGGCUCAACCUGGGAACUGCAUUCAAAACUGACUGACUAGAGUAUGGUAGAGGGUGGUGGAAUUUCCUGUGUAGCGGUGAAAUGCGUA
RNAcentral lists this ribosomal RNA (617 nucleotides) under uncultured bacterium. Its description in RNAcentral is "bacterial SSU rRNA". It matches the Rfam family "Bacterial small subunit ribosomal RNA", at positions 79 to 692 of the family's 1533-position model. The record is from RNAcentral.